RNAcentral lists this non-coding RNA (1164 nucleotides) under Botrytis tulipae. RNAcentral's name for it is "LSU rRNA". It matches the Rfam family "Eukaryotic large subunit ribosomal RNA", at positions 75 to 1907 of the family's 3401-position model. The record is from RNAcentral. Lineage: Eukaryota; Fungi; Ascomycota; Leotiomycetes; Helotiales; Sclerotiniaceae.
AUACCUCAGUAACGGCGAAGUGAAGCGGUAAAAGCUCAAAUUUGAAAUCUGGCUCUUUUAGGGUCCGCAUUGUAAUUUGUAGAAGAUGCUUCGGGGUGUGGUUCCGGUCUAAGUUCCUUGGGAACAGGACGUCAUAGAGGGUGAGAAUCCCGUAUGUGACUGGAUACCUAUGCUCAUGUGAAGCUCUUUCGACGAGUCGAGUUGUUUGGGAAUGCAGCUCAAAAAUGGGAGGUAUAUUUUCUUCUAAAGCUAAAUAUUGGCCAGAGACCGAUAGCGCACAAGUAGAGUGAUCGAAAGAUGAAAAGCACUUUGGAAAGAGAGUUAAACAGUACGUGAAAUUGUUGAAAGGGAAGCGCUUGCAAUCAGACUUGCACUUGGUGUUCAUCAGGGUCUCGUACCCUGUGUACUUCAUCAAGUUCAGGCCAGCAUCAGUUUGAGUGGUUAGAUAAAGGCUUAGAGAAUGUGGCCCUCUUCGGGGGGUGUUAUAGCUCUAGGUGCAAUGUAGCCUACUUGGACUGAGGACCGCGCUUCGGCUAGGAUGCUGGCGUAAUGGUUGUAAGCGACCCGUCUUGAAACACGGACCAAGGAGUGUACCUAAUAUGCGAGUGUUUGGGUGUUAAACCCAUACGCGUAAUGAAAGUGAACGCUGGUGAGAACCCUUAAGGGUGCAUCAUCGACCGAUCUUGAUGUCUUCGGAUGGAUUUGAGUAAGAGCAUAUUGGGUGCGACCCGAAAGAUGGUGAUCUAUACGUGAAUAGGGUGAAGCCAGAGGAAACUCUGGUGGAGGCUCGCAGCGGUUCUGACGUGCAAAUCGAUCGUCAAAUUUGCGUAUAGGGGCGAAAGACUAAUCGAACCAUUAAGGAAUAGACCAAGCUCUAGGUGGUUGAGAAACCCCCCUUGGGGGUAUUAGUCCUGGAGACAGGGCGACAUUGUCAAAUUGUUCGGGGACCACCUGUUAAAUUACAUACUACCGCAGCAGUGCUGAAAGGGCCUGUGAGCACUAGAGGUAACGCCUCUAGGGAUGGUAAUAACGUAUGUAUAGGGUAUAUCCGCAGCGAAGUUCUAAGGCCCUCACGGGCUACGAAUCCGUUCACAGACUAGACGGCAAUGGGCUCCUAACGGGGCUUAAGAUAUAGUCGAACCCCUCAGAGAUGAGGAUGAUCAA